Molecule: long non-coding RNA, 823 nt
Organism: Drosophila mojavensis
Lineage: Eukaryota; Metazoa; Arthropoda; Insecta; Diptera; Drosophilidae
Exons: 2
Source: RefSeq, a predicted model, not a curated record
UUCUUAGAUAUUCUAUAAAUCAUUUUAUACAACAAAAACUAAAUGUAUUAAAAGGGGGCAACAAACAGGAAAAAAAAUGGGAGGCUUUAAAUGCUGAAACGCAGACAACACUCACACACACACACACAUACAUAUAUGCUUAGAACACAGAGAGAGACCCUCUACAAAUACGUGUCACAGUCAGAGCAAAAGCAACACCAGCGAGUGCCAAUCGCCGCAAGCAAGCGUAGACAAAGAAACAUGGAGAGAGAGAAAACGGAAAAGGGGAGCGCGCAGCUAAAUGCGAAUUAAAGGUCCAAUCGGAUAGGGGUCUUCCGGCUCCGGAUUCACCUUUCUUUUGUUGUAGUUCUACUUGCACUUACCCAUGAGAUCGGAUGCCAGCGCCUCCUUUUGAUCCACCGGCACUUUGGCAAUUUUUCCACCCUUGUAAACGUAACUGCCCUCAAUCGACUUGAAUUCCAGAUAACGGGUGACGCCCGUGUGUAUCAGUAGCUUCACCAGUUGGCCAUUGGCCAUUAGAAACUUGGGUAUCAAGUCCACGUUCCAGUCGCGACCACGCCCAAAUUUCUCACCAGGCGGCUCCAGACCGUACCGCUGGAAGAGCUCCUCCAGCGGCGUAAUGGAGGCCGACUCGCCGCCAUAGUAUUUGUUUCGAUCAAUAUGCAGCACUUUCUUGCCAGAAACAGAGAGCAUGCCGCUCAAUAUGCACUCCUUGAGGCCAGUGCCCAGAACUAUCGCAUCGUAUUCCUCAUUCAUGUUAGGGUUUUUUUUUUUUUUUCUUUUAAUUAGUAACCAGCAGUAGCAACUUUUCUUAAAAUGGAAA